GAUGAACGCUGGCGGCGUGCCUAACACAUGCAAGUCGAGCGAGAAUUUCAUGACAGAUUCUUCGGAUGAUGGAUUGGAAGGAAAGCGGCGGACGGGUGAGUAACACGUGGAGAACCUGCCCCCUCCCCGGGAUAGCCGCCCGAAAGGACGGGUAAUACCGGAUACCCCGGGGUGCCGCAUGGCGCCCCGGCUAAAGCCCCGACGGGAGGGGAUGGCUCCGCGGCCCAUCAGGUAGACGGCGGGGUGACGGCCCACCGUGCCGACAACGGGUAGCCGGGUUGAGAGACCGACCGGCCAGAUUGGGACUGAGACACGGCCCAG
Molecule: ribosomal RNA, 321 nt
Filed under: uncultured bacterium
Lineage: Bacteria
Description: bacterial SSU rRNA
Rfam family: Bacterial small subunit ribosomal RNA
Source: RNAcentral